AAGAUUUGUAGCUGGAAGGGACUCGGGUUCAUCAGAAGCGAUGGCAUGAGAGGUCAUGGAAACUAUGUUGGCGGCAGGGGUUUUGGUCGAGGUGGUGAUUUUGGUGGCAACAGGAAUGACUAUGGUUUCAGAGGUAACAGCCGUGGAGGAGGUUCAAACCAUGGUGGUGAUGGAUAUCAAAGAGACAACAAUGGUGGACGUGUGAACCGUGGACAGGAUGUUAAUGGGACUGCCAGAAAUACAGCACAAUGAGAGUUCCCUUUGGUGAUUCACUGAUAACACAUAAUUUCAAGAGAUAUGAUUGGUUGAUUUUUGGCUUCAAAUUUCAAAAUUGCAGUGGUGAUAAUAGAGACGGAUAGAAUGAGUUUGUUUUUUAGUUUUUAUUUUUUGGCAUUACUAUCAGUCUAUCACUGUAUAGUAGUAGUAAUCGGUGAUUGUUAUGCUCUCUUAU
Erigeron canadensis is the source of this 451-nucleotide long non-coding RNA. RefSeq lists it as uncharacterized. The record is from RefSeq and is a predicted model, not a curated record. The transcript is spliced from 2 exons. Lineage: Eukaryota; Viridiplantae; Streptophyta; Magnoliopsida; Asterales; Asteraceae.